GACAGAGGCCUCGAGCGUUAGGCGGAAUCACUGGGCUUAAAGCGUGUGUAGGCGGAUCGUUAAGUACCUUGUGAAAUCCCACGGCUCAACCGUGGAACGGCUGGGUAUACUGGCGGUCUUGAGCCAUCUAGGGGCUACCGGAACAAAUGGUGGAGCGGUGAAAUGCGUAGAUAUCAUUUGGAACGCCAAUGGUGAAAACAGGUAGCUGGGGAUGUGCUGACGCUGAGACACGAAAGCCAGGGGAGCAAACGGG
Molecule: ribosomal RNA, 253 nt
Filed under: uncultured bacterium
Lineage: Bacteria
Description: partial 16S ribosomal RNA
Rfam family: Bacterial small subunit ribosomal RNA
Source: RNAcentral